AUUGAACGCUGGCGGCAGGCCUAACACAUGCAAGUCGAGCGGAUGAAGGGAGCUUGCUCCUGGAUUCAGCGGCGGCCGGGUGAGUAAUGCCUAGGAAUCUGCCUGGUAGUGGGGGAUAACGUCCGGAAACGGGCGCUAAUCCCGCAUACGUACUGAGGGAGAAAGUGGGGGAUCUUCGGACCUCACGCUAUCAGAUGAGCCUAGGUCGGAUGGGCUAGUUGGUGGGGUAAAGGCCUACACAGGCGACGAUCCGUAACUGGUCUGAGAGGAUGAUCAGUCACACGGGAACUGAGAAACAGUCCAGACUCCUACGGGGAGCAGCAGUGGAGAAUAUUAGGCAAUGGGGGAAAGGCUGAUCCAGCCAUGCCGCGUGUGGGAAGAAGGACUUCGGAUUGUAAAGCACUUUAAGUUGGGAGGAAGGAAAGUAAGUUAAUACCUUACUGUAUUGACGGUACCAACAGAAUAAGCACCGGCUAACUUCGUG
Molecule: ribosomal RNA, 484 nt
Filed under: uncultured bacterium
Lineage: Bacteria
Description: partial 16S ribosomal RNA
Rfam family: Bacterial small subunit ribosomal RNA
Source: RNAcentral